CAUUUCAAAAUUACGUGCAGCAGAAAUCAUAUUGAAACUCGACUCUUUGACUAUACAGGAAAAUAGACAUUAUAUUAGUUAAUAUAAUAUAUAUAUAUAACAACAGACAGAAAUAUACAUAUAUAUAUAUAUAUAUAUAUGUAUUUAUGCGAAAACUUUCAUUUAUAACAUCUACUUAACAACGUAAAAAACUCUUUUUUCUUAAUUUUUCGUAAGUUUUUGAUUUUUUUUAUCAUUUUUUUCCUUCUUUUAUUUUCUUUGAUAAAAAUUCUCUUUUUAAAAAGAAAAUAAAAAAAAUAACAAAGUAAACGUGGAAAAGUUUCUUAGUUCAUUAAUACAAGAUUCAGUGUUAUACUGUAUGUAUAGUAGUCUUGUACGUAAAUGGCUGGUAUGGUUGAGUGAGAGAAACAAUGCAAAAUAUGGUGAAACAUGUUUUUUUUUCUUCAUCAUACGUUAUAAUACGAACGUCGUUUAGUUAUGUUUACGAAAUUCUGUACACGAGCGUUAAUGCACUACAGGUUAUAGGAAACGAGAACCAAGGAAGUAAGGAGUUUGUCUAAUAUAUCAUCACGUGACGCGUAUAGUUGUAUUAUCUUUUAUAAAUGAAGAAAAUAAAUUCUUUUUAGUCUGUUUAGAAAUAAUUUCAAAUUUUGUCAUGUCUGGCAGGCUUUUUGUCCUUAUAAAGGCAACAUGGCGACGUAAAUAUAGAAAAGGGAAAAAAGCUAUUGGUCACGUGUUUAUGAUCUUUUGUUAGGAUGCUUUGAGAGUUGGCUCUAAAAUAGAAUGAAUUGGGUGCGCGUGUAAGAUCGCGUGGUGUUUAAAAGAAAAAUUUAAGUGCGACAAAUAUCAAUGUAUAAAAUUGUGAUUGAAGCCAACAUAGCUUCACGUGACUGGUUUAGAUGUUCAAAUGUAGCCCUACUUCACACGCUCUUGUCACAACAACGCUAUUUAUGACGCUUUUAUUUUAUAACGUAUUAGAAUAAAAAUAUGUGAACCUUCUUCUUUUUUAUACUAAUAAAAAUAUUUAAGAUAAGAAAAUUUUCUUCCCUCAAUAACCUACUAAUAUUUACAAAGAGAACCCAUCACUACCUAUCCCUAGGCUAAAUGAUAAAGAGUGGCGGGAGAAAACAGCCUCGGACUAUAGUUUUUCUAUUUAUACGAUAGAAAAAAGGGUUAAAGAGAGAGAGAGAGAAAGAGAGAGAGAGAGAGAGACAUGAUUGGGAGGGGGUAAAGAGUGAAAAGGGAAGAGAGAGAGAGGAAGAGAAAAAACCUACAAAUUUACCACAAAAUUCGACGAACCGUUAAUGACGAAGCAGAGCGAUAAAUACCGAUAAGGCGGGACAGUUUUAUCAUUAUUCGGCAUUCCUCUGCCGUAAACACAUAGUUUUGAGAAGAGCGAAGAGGAAUGUUGCCGGUUGUUUAUAUAACGAGUAUGAUUAUAAUCAUACACUCAUAUUUUGCAGAUUAAUUUAUUAAUUAAACGCAAUCCAAAAUCAAGCACAAAUUUAAUUAAAAUGUUUAUAAUUAUAGCAAUAUACUUUUUAUAUGUAUUACUAAAUUGGAAGAGCUUGUUGUAUAUACUAUGUACAAGUACAGACAAAAUAGGCGAGAACUAGUUUUCCAGAGCAGAAUCCUGCCGCCAAUUCGUACUCUGUUUAUUUGCGGUGUUAAGUAGCAAAAUGUUUACGCCGUAGAACAUUUCGGGUGAAAGAAGCGCCACCUCGUGAAAGGUUUGUCGUCCUUUUCCGCCAGUUUGUAGACGAGGAGCGACGAGUGAACUAUUGUGAAAAUUCUCUCUACAAAUAAUUACAUUAAUUUCAUCUUAUAAGGAUUCAGUACGAAUAGAUAAUAAUCAGGCAACGUAUUCUCAUAGCUAUUAAGCUAAAUAUCUACCAUUCUCGGCAAUGUUCUAAACAUAUUCCUUUAAAAAAUUGGAUAAUAUUGGAGCUAUUAAAGAGUUGUUUUUUAAAAAAAAAAAAGAAACAACGAUUGAUAACGGUAAACUGUAUGUUUCUUUUUUAUUAUUAUAUUUCAUUUAUUUAUUAAAAUUUCACUAUUUCUACUAGUUUUUUAGUGUUAGUAUUUUUUUUAAAAAAAACAAUUAUGCCAAAGAGAAAUAGAAAAAAAAAUAGUUUAAUUCUAAGAAGCUUAAUAUUUUCACCGGAUUUUAUUCACUUUCUUUGUGUUCCUGCAUUAAUGCUAUUAAGCAAGAACAAACCGAGAAUCGGAAGUGACGUGUAAUAAUAACUAUUACGAAAUAUAGCUUGAAAGAAGAAAUGGAAAGCCAAGUUUGUUUGGAGAAAAAAAUAAAAAAAAAGUUUCUUUUUUUAUCAUUUAAGAAGAUUUAAAAGCAAAUGAAUAAGAUUCCGAUUGAAAUAGUAAAAAGAGAGAAGAGAUUGAAAAUGAGAGAGAGAGAGAGAGAGAGAGAGAGAGAAAGUCAUGAUAGGAAUUCUGUAUACAUAAUUAUCUUUUACCUAAAAAAAACCUCCUUGUAAUCGUUAUACUCAAUUCAUCAUGUUAUUCAAAUAAAACCUGGUAGGAUUUUUAUGCAAAUAUGUGACUUUGUACUGGUUCGUCAUGAAUUAUCAUCACAGUUGCAUUCAUCUUUAGAGUUUAGAAAGACCAUGCCUCCAUAUGUAAUGUAUUUGCGCUGAACCCGUAAAUCCUUAUAGAUCUUAUAUAUCCAAGCCGUUUACCCAAUUUUAUGUAAUUUUCUAUUACUCUAUUUUAUAAGUAUAAAAGAUAUGUUUACUAUCCACUAAUAGAUAAAACAGGUAAGAACAUAUAGGUUAAUUAUUUGAGUGUAAAUUGAUGAACGUUGUAUAACAUCUUGACAGAAUAAGGAUUUGUCGACAGGUUGACGUCGUGAAUAUUAAUUAAAGAGAUGAGUGUCGUCUACUGGAAGAUCGUCAAUGGAACCCUAGUUCCGAUAGCAGCCGGAAGUCCGUUAACGCCGUUAAUUACUGCUCAAAUGACUGCCGGAUGGCCAUAUUUGGCAAUGGCAAAUAGAUUUUUGAAGGCUCCGAGUAACGCUAAACCAGUAAAAUGUGAAGCUUGCGAAAUUACAUUAAAUUCCGAACGUCAGGCCAAACAACAUUUUGAAGGCGUCAAACAUUUGAAACAAUUACAAAAGAAAAAAAUGCCUUUACCGCCCGAACUGGAAGAGAAAUUGAAUAAAUACAACGAAAAGAAUUCCAAACGCCGGCGGCAAGAAUCCAGACAUAAAGGAAAGCCUAUGGAAGAAGAAGAGGGAAUCAAGGACAGAAAGCGAGAGGAAAAGCUUCUCUCAAAAGAUGAAAAUGAGAAUAGCGUAUCGGAAGUAGCAGAAACGAAUAAAGAGAUUGAGGAAGAGGAGGAAAAAGCCGUCGAUAAAGGACGCCUAAUUACUUGCAUCGAUGGUUCAUUUGACACUGAAAAUUGUAACGAACUCCGAACGAAAGAUAAUAAUUGCAAACUUCGCCUUUCUAAUAACACUGCUGGGAACUUCUAUAGCGCUCUAGAACAGAUUGCUGCCAAGAGAAUCAGAUUAGAUUACGAAAUAGGUAAGCCAAGUCUUGGCGAUUCCUAAUGGUUGUACUAAUUCGGUCCGGCAGACGGCGCACUUUAUUUUUUUUUGAAAGUAUCCUGCAGAUGGCAUAAAGUACUAUUAAGAAGAACCUUUCAGAUAACCUUAACUGUUCAAUAAACUGAUUAGGAUACUCGGUUAGAAGGGCUUAGAAUAAUAUUCAAAAAAAGACAUUUUUUGUGUCUAAUUAUUGAAGCAAUUAACACUAAUAACGAAUCUAAUCUUUAAUAAGUAAUCAUACAAUCAAGAGAGAUAAUUUAAACCAAAUUUUUCCUUACAAUUUUUGAUUUGUUCUAGGUAAUAUAUAGACAGUAUAUAUAUAAAUUAUAUAUAUAUAUAUAUAUACUAUAUAGUUGCUUUAUCGAUAACCUAUUUCACAUUUUUUAAAAUUAUUCAUAGAAAAAAAAAUCCAGAAAAGUGUUUGACAGAAACUCUGCCCACUCCAAUUACAUGCAUAUAAAUUAGACCUAAUUAAUUUUUUUUGGGUAUGUCAUGUGUUGUUUUUAUUCUUUUAUAUAUAUAUAUAUACUGUAUAUAUGCACUAUAUAUUAUAUAAGAUAUAUAAAGAGGAAUUAAAACAAACUGUACAAAACCUAAAAAAUAAUAAUAAAAUGUAGGCUGAAGUUUCGAACAUAUAGGAAUUUGUAAAAAAAAAAAAAAACAGAACUAUACAUAUAUAUAUAUAUUUAAUUAACUUUCUAACAAUUUACAACUUUUGGGGGAAUCUAUGCUAAAUCUGUGGAGUAAAGGAAUAAAAAAAACCAUAUAUAAAACAACAUUUAAAGACAAAUCUUUGUAUAUAUGGUUUUAAUUAAUUAAUCGCGUUAUUAAUUAAUUACAAUUUCUUUAUUUAUUCAUUAAUUAAUUAUUAUUUCUUUGAAUGUUUCCUAUAAUUUAAUUUAUUUAUUUAUAGUUUCUUUUUUAUUUUAAAUUUAAUUCAUUCUACAAAAAGAAACGACAAUUACGUCUUUGUAUACAAAUGUAUUACUAUGUGUAUUACUAUAUUUAUAAAUUGAUAUCUAUUCUUUAAUUUUUCUUUUCUAGGUGCUACAGAAUUAUCAGAACAAGCAUUGAACGAAGCUAUAGAAUAAUAAUAUAAAACUUAAACGGAGAGAAAACUUUUAUCUCGCAAAUAUUUCUAUUCUUUUUCUAUUAUUAUUAAAAAGGAAAGAAAGAAUCGAAUUGUAAAUAUAAACAUUUUCAUAAAUAAAAAUUUGAUCGGUACAAGCCUUCUUGUCUGUCUAAAAAUAUAUAUAUAUAUAUAAACAGUAUAUAACAUAUAUGUUUGUGGUUUUUUUUUCUAUUCAGGCCUAAUAUUUCGCUUCUGAAACAGGCGUAUUUGCGUAAUAAUUUUGUUAUUGUAUAAUUUCUACCGCCUGUAAUUUUUUACUAGGAUUAUAUCCGGAUAUUCUACUGUAAAAAAAAACCAGCAUGAAUAACAAAAGGUAUUAAAAUUUGCGACAUUUGCAGAUGUUUGUAGGGAAAUCUUUA
Molecule: unclassified non-coding RNA, 5056 nt
Filed under: Dimorphilus gyrociliatus
Lineage: Eukaryota; Metazoa; Annelida; Polychaeta; Dinophilidae
Description: dgyrCDS1552
Source: RNAcentral